CAUGCAAGUCGAGCGGCAGCACGGGAAGCUUGCUUCCUGGUGGCGAGCGGCGGACGGGUGAGUAAUGCAUAGGAAUCUGCCCGAUAGUGGGGGAUAACCUGGGGAAACCCAGGCUAAUACCGCAUACGUCCUACGGGAGAAAGCAGGGGCUCUUCGGACCUUGCGCUAUCGGAUGAGCCUAUGUCGGAUUAGCUGGUUGGUGAGGUAAUGGCUCACCAAGGCGACGAUCCGUAGCUGGUCUGAGAGGAUGAUCAGCCACAUCGGGACUGAGACACGGCCCGAACUCCUACGGGAGGCAGCAGUGGGGAAUAUUGGACAAUGGGCGCAAGCCUGAUCCAGCCAUGCCGCGUGUGUGAAGAAGGCCCUCGGGUUGUAAAGCACUUUCAGUGGGGAAGAAAGCCUUGGGGCUAAUACCCUCGAGGAAGGACAUCACCCACAGAAGAAGCACCGGCUAACUCCGUGCCAGCAGCCGCGGUAAUACGGAGGGUGCGAGCGUUAAUCGGAAUUACUGGGCGUAAAGCGCGCGUAGGUGGCUUGAUAAGCCGGUUGUGAAAGCCCCGGGCUCAACCUGGGAACGGCAUCCGGAACUGUCAGGCUAGAGUGCAGGAGAGGAAGGUAGAAUUCCCGGUGUAGCGGUGAAAUGCGUAGAGAUCGGGAGGAAUACCAGUGGCGAAGGCGGCCUUCUGGACUGACACUGACACUGAGGUGCGAAAGCGUGGGUAGCAAACAGGAUUAGAUACCCUGGUAGUCCACGCCGUAAACGAUGUCGACUAGCCGUUGGGAGCCUCGAGUUCUUAGUGGCGCAGUUAACGCGAUAAGUCGACCGCCUGGGGAGUACGGCCGCAAGGUUAAAACUCAAAUGAAUUGACGGGGGCCCGCACAAGCGGUGGAGCAUGUGGUUUAAUUCGAUGCAACGCGAAGAACCUUACCUACCCUUGACAUCGUGCGAACUUGGUAGAGAUACUUUGGUGCCUUCGGGAACGCACAGACAGGUGCUGCAUGGCUGUCGUCAGCUCGUGUUGUGAAAUGUUGGGUUAAGUCCCGUAACGAGCGCAACCCUUGUCCCUAUUUGCCAGCGAUUCGGUCGGGAACUCUAGGGAGACUGCCGGUGACAAACCGGAGGAAGGUGGGGACGACGUCAAGUCAUCAUGGCCCUUACGGGUAGGGCUACACACGUGCUACAAUGGUCGGUACAAAGGGUUGCAAAGCGGCGACGUGGAGCUAAUCCCAUAAAGCUGAUCUCAGUCCGGAUCGGAGUCUGCAACUCGACUCCGUGAAGUCGGAAUCGCUAGUAAUCGUGAAUCAGAAUGUCACGGUGAAUACGUUCCCGGGCCUUGUACACACCGCCCGUCACACCAUGGGAGUGGACUGCACCAGAAGUGGUUAGCCUAACUUCGGAGGGCGAUCACCACGGUGUG
This 1418-nucleotide ribosomal RNA is filed under the name Halomonas sp. RMR40. RNAcentral describes it as "bacterial SSU rRNA". It matches the Rfam family "Bacterial small subunit ribosomal RNA". The record is from RNAcentral. RNAcentral also lists the same sequence under 1 other name. Lineage: Bacteria; Pseudomonadati; Pseudomonadota; Gammaproteobacteria; Oceanospirillales; Halomonadaceae.